AAGCCAGACGGAGCGACGCCGCGGGAGCGAAGAAGGCCACCGGGACGCAAAGCACAGGAGAGAGGGACGAAGGAGCGCCGANAGAACAAGGCGGCGCGGCGACGGCACCACACGAGGAAGCCCCGGCNAACUACGCGCCAGCAGCCGCGGNAACACGNAGGGGGCGAGCGACGCCCGGAACCAAAGGGCGCAAAGCGCGCGCAGGCGGCCCCCCAAGCCCGAGGCGAAAGCCCACGGCCCAACCGAGGAGGGACAUAGGAAACCGGGGGACUUGAGAGCAAGAGAGGAGAGCGGAACCCCCCGCGAAGCGAGGAAACGCCCAGAGACGGGGAGGAACACCAGAGGCGAAGGCGGCUCUCUGGCCUGCAACUGACGCUGAAGCGCGAAAGCGUGGGGAGCAACCAUGAUUAGAUACCCUGGUAGUCCGCGCUGUAAUCGAUGAGUGUUAAGUGUUAGAGGGGUCACACCGUUUUGUGCUGCAGUUUACGCGAUAAGCACUCCGCAUGGUGAGUUCGACUGCAAGGCUGAAACUCAAAGGAAUUGACGGGGGCCCGCACAAGCGGUGGAGCAUGUGGUUUAAUUAGAUAGCAGCGCGAAGAACUUUAAUAGGUCUUGACAUCCCCUGACAACCCAAGAGAUUGGGCGUUCCCCUUUUGGGGUGACAGGGUGACAGCUGGUGCAUGGUUG
This 687-nucleotide ribosomal RNA is filed under the name uncultured organism. RNAcentral's name for it is "SSU rRNA". It matches the Rfam family "Bacterial small subunit ribosomal RNA", at positions 379 to 1051 of the family's 1533-position model. The record is from RNAcentral.